GGGCCGUUAGCUCAAUUGGUAGAGCUGCGGACUUUUAAUCCGUAGGUUCUGGGUUCGAGCCCCAGGCGGCCCACAA
This 76-nucleotide transfer RNA is filed under the name Amycolatopsis orientalis. RNAcentral's name for it is "tRNA-Lys". It matches the Rfam family "tRNA". Rfam says of the family: Transfer RNA (tRNA) molecules are approximately 80 nucleotides in length. Their secondary structure includes four short double-helical elements and three loops (D, anti-codon, and T loops). Further hydrogen bonds mediate the characteristic L-shaped molecular structure. tRNAs have two regions of fundamental functional importance: the anti-codon, which is responsible for specific mRNA codon recognition, and the 3' end, to which the tRNAs corresponding amino acid is attached (by aminoacyl-tRNA synthetases). tRNAs cope with the degeneracy of the genetic code in two manners: having more than one tRNA (with a specific anti-codon) for a particular amino acid; and 'wobble' base-pairing, i.e. permitting non-standard base-pairing at the 3rd anti-codon position. Lineage: Bacteria; Bacillati; Actinomycetota; Actinomycetes; Pseudonocardiales; Pseudonocardiaceae. The record is from RNAcentral. RNAcentral also lists the same sequence under 2 other names.